This 1027-nucleotide long non-coding RNA is filed under the name Triticum aestivum (bread wheat). RNAcentral's name for it is "long non-coding RNA (TAES_LNC015594)". The record is from RNAcentral. Lineage: Eukaryota; Viridiplantae; Streptophyta; Magnoliopsida; Poales; Poaceae.
UAAUUUGGAACGGAGGGAGUACCAGAUUAAUCUUAACUCACUACAGUGGAACAAGAUAUGGAAGAGACAAAAAUUCUUUGCUUUGAUUCCCUACAUGAGUUUCCACAAUCCACAAGGUAUAUUUGUUAUUCCCCUUCUUUUCUGGUUUAUUACGAACAACGCUUAAGCAACAAUAAUAUUUUGGUUAGCCCAACAAACAGAAAUAUUGAAUGUUUAAUCAGACUGAAGAAAGUUUUACUUGAUGAUGAUUCAGUUGGUGCGCUCGACUAAACUUUGAGAGCUGUGUACACUCGAACGUUACAUCUAAUUGGCAAUUUUAUACAUGUCUUCUCUUUUUGGAAUCACACUCACAAAUCUAUGUUGGCAGAAAGGAUGAGCCCUGAAAUGUGAAGCACCGGUAACAUAUGGUUGAAUAUGCUUUAAGGGCAGGAGGCCACUAUCAUCAAUAGGAAAGAUGACUACUUGGAGUGGAGGCGACAUGGCUCUUGUGAUUAAACAUUUGGUCAGUAAGCUUGAUAAUGUCCCCGUGUUGUUGAUGUGUGUAAGCAGGGGAAUGGAUUGCCUUUGUAAUUAACCUCUAAUUUCUUGCCGCAUCAGCUAUGUGCUUUCUUGUUUAAUCUGCUUGAAAAUGCAUCUGCACACAAUAUCUUAGCUAGUGUUCCCAAUUGAAAACUUUCAGUUAGCCCUACAAGCUUUUUAUCCAAUCUCUAAUAAAUUGUAAAUUCAUCUUCCAAAAGAGGUGCAGCUGAUGAGCAGAUGAAGAUGGCAUGUCCAGAGCUAGUGGUUUCUAUCUCCAAAGAGAUCAUAUGACAAUGCUUUCUGCAUGCUGGCUUGGUGAUGUGUCGUAAUUAAUCUCGUGGAUUUAAUUAGUGCUAUGUGUAGUCAAGUGCUGAUGUUACUGCAGGUUUGAACUGCACAUGUUUUCUUGCUGAUGUUGCAGCAUCCUGCAACUGUCGAGUUAUCGAUUUUAUGAAACUACAUGGUUUUGUCAGCCGUUCUGCUUGUUUAAUAUGCAAAAUUUGUUUUC